This 245-nucleotide long non-coding RNA is filed under the name Nicotiana benthamiana. RNAcentral's name for it is "long non-coding RNA (NBEN_LNC001220)". Lineage: Eukaryota; Viridiplantae; Streptophyta; Magnoliopsida; Solanales; Solanaceae. The record is from RNAcentral.
GAUCUUGCAGGUAUUUUAAACACAAUAAGUCCUCAAGACAAAGUACAAGAGGAAAAUCCAAAAGAAAUUCAAGAUGAAAUCUUGGAACAAUUAUCUGAGGAAGCGCCACCACUGGAGAAAGAAACGAAACUGCCUAGCGCGUGGAGGACAAUCAAAGACCAUCCUCUCGACAAGGUAAUUGGCGUCAUUGAACAAAAGGUAAGUACUCGAAACAAUCUUAAGAACACCUUAGGACAUACUGCUUU